GCGAGGAUGGCGGAAUUGGUAGACGCACCAGCUUGAGGGGCUGGCGGGGCGACCUGUGGGGGUUCGAAUCCCCCUCCUCGCA
Molecule: transfer RNA, 82 nt
Filed under: Pseudomonadota bacterium
Lineage: Bacteria; Pseudomonadati; Pseudomonadota
Also listed under: 1 other name
Description: Proteobacteria bacterium (activated sludge metagenome) tRNA-Leu
Rfam family: tRNA
About the family: Transfer RNA (tRNA) molecules are approximately 80 nucleotides in length. Their secondary structure includes four short double-helical elements and three loops (D, anti-codon, and T loops).
Source: RNAcentral